AGACCUUGUGACUUCACAACAUCACAUCUGCCUUUAAACGGGGGAACAUGAACCAUUUUCACACACACAAUACCUCUGCCAUGAAGGAUGUUCAGUCUAUGGAGGCAGUGUCUAUGCCUUUAAAUGAGGGGAUUGUCUCUAUCUGCAACAUCUGCAAGUUCCUCAAAA
Molecule: long non-coding RNA, 168 nt
Organism: Puntigrus tetrazona (Sumatra barb)
Lineage: Eukaryota; Metazoa; Chordata; Actinopteri; Cypriniformes; Cyprinidae
Exons: 3
Source: RefSeq, a predicted model, not a curated record